CCUACGGGAGGCAGUAGUGGGGAAUAUUGCACAAUGGGCGAAAGCCUGAUGCAGCAACGCCGCGUGAGUGAUGAAGGCCUUCGGGUUGUAAAGCUCUGUCUUUGGGGACGAUUAUGACGGUACCCAAGGAGGAAGCCACGGCUAACUACGUGCCAGCAGCCGCGGUAAUACGUAGGUGGCAAGCGUUGUCCGGAUUUACUGGGCGUAAAGGAUGCGUAGGCGGAUAUUUAAGUCAGAUGUGAAAUACCCGAGCUUAACUUGGGUGCUGCAUUUGAAACUGGAUAUCUAGAGUGUGGGAGAGGAAAGUGGAAUUCCUAGUGUAGCGGUGAAAUGCGUAGAGAUUAGGAAGAACACCAGUGGCGAAGGCGACUUUCUGGACCAUAACUGACGCUGAGGCAUGAAAGCGUGGGGAGCAAACAGGAUUAGAUACCCUGGUAGUCCACGCCGUAAACGAUGGGUACUAGGUGUAGGGGGUAUCGACUCCCUCUGUGCCGCAGUUAACACAAUAAGUACCCCGCCUGGGGAGUACGGUCGCAAGAUUAAAACUCAAAGGAAUUGACGG
This 562-nucleotide ribosomal RNA is filed under the name uncultured bacterium. RNAcentral describes it as "bacterial SSU rRNA". It matches the Rfam family "Bacterial small subunit ribosomal RNA", at positions 338 to 916 of the family's 1533-position model. The record is from RNAcentral.